ACGAACGCUGGCGGCGUGCUUAACACAUGCCAGUCGAACGGAAAGGCCCUGCUUUUGUGGGGUGCUCGAGUGGCGAACGGGUGAGUAACACGUGAGUAACCUGCCCUUGACUUUGGGAUAACAUCAGGAAACUGGGGCGAAUACCGGAUAGGAGCUCCUGCUGCAUGGUGGGGGUUGGAAAGUUUCGGCGGUUGGGGAUGGACUCGCGGCUUAUCAGCUUGUUGGUGGGGUAGUGGCUUACCAAGGCUUUGACGGGUAGCCGGCCUGAGAGGGUGACCGGCCACAUUGGGACUGAGAUACGGCCCAGACUCCUACGGGAGGCAGCAGUGGGGAAUAUUGCACAAUGGGCGGAAGCCUGAUGCAGCAACGCCGCGUGCGGGAUGACGGCCUUCGGGUUGUAAACCGCUUUCGCCUGUGACGAAGCGUGAGUGACGGUAAUGGGUAAAGAAGCACCGGCUAACUACGUG
RNAcentral lists this ribosomal RNA (467 nucleotides) under uncultured bacterium. Its description in RNAcentral is "partial 16S ribosomal RNA". It matches the Rfam family "Bacterial small subunit ribosomal RNA", at positions 29 to 507 of the family's 1533-position model. The record is from RNAcentral.